AGGGGAUUUAUUUCAAUUAAUUUAUGCUUACAUAUAGCUCUAAUUCAAAUUUGAAAUUAUUUUGCAGAUCUAUUUAUUAUCUUCUCUUUAAAUCGAAUGCAAUGUUAAUCCUAACAAAUAUUUUGUCCAGUGUGAGUUGUCGAUUUGAAGUUGAUGUCGUAAUAUGUUAACCGAAGCAUUACGCAAACUAAGAAAGUGCUCUUCGAGUCUGUUUGCAUUAGGCAUCUGCCACAAGCACUUAGUCUACCCUUGAAGUAGCAGGCAUUACAUUCAACAUUUACAACUACCACGCACACACACACACACGCACGCACUCACACUCUCACACUUUGCAGACAAGCAAUUAUGUUGUGAAAGUUGGCAGCAGGUUGGGCUGUGCGUGGAGUGUCUGAAAGACUCCCAUUGCCGGAAUUUAGUUCAUAAUUUAUAAGCCGCCCACGAAAUGCCAAAAGCCCGAAAGAGCAACAGAAAAAAUGAAGAAAAGAGAGAGAAAGAGACCAGCAAAGAACCCAGAGACAGAGCCAGACAGCGUGACGUUGGCGGCAACACGCCUCCUCCGUGCAGGCGCCCAUGCCGAAUAACACCCGCCAACAAAAAAGGUUAACAGCAGCACAGCAAGGAAAAUCCAAAAGGCAAAAAACCAAAUGCGCCAGGCAAAAGUCAAAAACUAACUGCCUUUUGUUAGAGCCGCGCCAUGUGGACAUUGCGGAUGUCUGAAUGUGUGUGUGCGUGUGCGUGUGAAUGUGUGCAGGAUGGGUGUAACGACCGACGUGACAGUGCCCAAACGUAUGCAUGUGGCUGGCAUACAGUCUGUGUGCAUACCCUGUAAAUAGUGUGAUGAAGGUUAAGGUAGGUGCCAUGUAGCUUACGUCUGCGGGAGAGUUAUCAACACAACUGCAAAGCUAAAUCAAAACGGGUAUAAGUAUAAAUAAAUUAAAAUUAAUGUGAACAACAAAA
Molecule: long non-coding RNA, 957 nt
Organism: Drosophila mojavensis
Lineage: Eukaryota; Metazoa; Arthropoda; Insecta; Diptera; Drosophilidae
Exons: 2
Source: RefSeq, a predicted model, not a curated record